UGACGUCACUCGGUGUCGGUAAACUCACCUGGUCAGGUCUCCUCAUGUCCCCUUUAUCAAAAGAAUAGAGCGCUUCAGACGAACUUCGGCCGCGGUGACGUCAUCGAGGGCGAGUUGGUUAUUUCCCUCAUUGCGGCACUGGUCACUCGAGGAGUUCCUGAGUCUGUGAGUUCAUGAAGUGUUUCUCCCCAUCAGUCACAGCGGGUGGCAGGUACGGAGCUGAAGGUGUGUCAUUAGACCCCUGCUGACCGCCUCCUGGUCCGGCCCUCCUCACAUUCGUCUUCAUUAAAGAGCCGUUGACUGGGUCUCUCUGAGCAGAUGGUCAUUAAUGUGGCCACCCUAUCCACAGAGACUUUACCUGAGGACAAACGUCACCUCUGAACACCGCCGCACUGAAGAUGGAGAGACUCUGGAGGAACGCACUUCUCUGAAUCACUUCCCAGACCAGUUUAUAAAUGGCUGCCGUGAAGUGGUUGUUGUCUGUGGGCUGACACGAGACUCACGUGAUGGAGAUGCAGGAGAACAACUGUGAAUGUGGCCACAUAUCAUCAGCGGGGUCAGAUUCAGUCAGAGUGAACAUCAAUCACAAUCACAGUCGCCUCCAAUUACGCUCCCCUUGAAAAGCACCAUGGAGGAAAGCAGCUAAUGUGAUCUGGCUCUCUCUGUUGGAUGGCACACACAGCUCUCCUCACGCACAGCUCAGCGUAAGAAGCGCUAGUGAUCCUAAUGAAGACCAGAGGGGGAGACCGCUUCUCAGUGGCUGGAAUUGAAUUGGCAUGCUGUAAAUUGGCUUAAUCCGGGCCAAAGCAUUAUCUGGUUUAGUCACCAAGCCCAGUUUGUGGAUUUUCUCCAGUUUGAGGCCUUAGUUGUGUCCGCUGGGAGCCACCGGUCCGGCCAGCAUGUGAAGGAAUAGACGGACGAUAAAUAAUACGAGUAGAAAUCAUCUGGACUGGUGAUAAAUGAGCUUCUGCUCGUCCAAAAUGAUGUUUUAUUAGCUAAUGGAGUGGCGUAUGGAUUAAAGGUCCGGUCCUGCGGUGCUGCUCGCUUGCAUAUUGAUGAAUUUCUCCGUGUACUUACUCAUAUUGUAGCAUAUGGCUUUAUGAUGGAGUGCUGUGAUCGUUUGUAUGGAACGUUUCCCUUUGUACCAUCGUUCUACAUAUUAAAUGAUUUCCAGCGGUGUUUAAUACGACCCGUGAGAAUAUUCCCUCUCUGAUGAUCCAAACACGGCCGCUGAGAUGAUGUGAAGACGCCCGAGAGCUGGAGUCAGAGUUACUGUACCUGCGCCUUUCAUUAUUAAACGCUGAGAAAUUAAGGUCAUAAAACUGAGGAAUGAAAUAA
This is a long non-coding RNA of Cyprinus carpio (common carp), 1338 nucleotides long. RefSeq lists it as uncharacterized. Lineage: Eukaryota; Metazoa; Chordata; Actinopteri; Cypriniformes; Cyprinidae. The transcript has 4 exons. The record is from RefSeq and is a predicted model, not a curated record.